CUGUCUAUCCAUCUCCUCAGUAGAAAGGGGGGACCUUGGGAGAUAAGGAGAGGGGAGGGGAGUGGUCUAUCUCAGGAACAAGGAAGGAGUGGCCCAGGUCACCUUUUCUGGAAGUCAAUCCAUCCCCCUCCCUGCAGGAAAGCAGCUUCCGGCCUCCCCAGACCUUCAGUGGAAGAGGGCAGGGGCCCUGGCCCCAGCCCCACACAUUCAUUCUACCCUUUGUUCCUCGACUGCUGGCCCACCUCAUACAGGGAACUCUCUUUUCCUGAGCUUUUGUCCUUCCAAAAGUGACACAAGGGGAGCAAUUCUAUUCCUGUUGACCUCAUAGAAAAUAAAAUGCAGAAUUCAUUAUUCUAGCGUUGGAUCUGCGUGCGUGAGGUUUUGUCACAAUCACUGCAGUCUAACUCAAAGCCGCCUGUCACGUCCCCACAGAGCCCAGGGGUGCCAGCACCCCACAAGAGCACCCCCACAAAGCUCACACUCUCCACUCCGUGCCCCGCACCUCCUGUCCUUCUGUGCCACCCAGGCCCUCUUGUGGCCCAGGACUAAGCAAAGGAGGAGGACCAGAGGAAAGGGCGGGUUCAAGGAGCCCGACUCUGGGAAAACAGGUUCAGGGGAGAAGACAAGCAGCCCACAGAAGGUUCCUCCUCGCUUUCUCUCUCCCUUUAAUGCUAGCUUGACCUGCAGCAGCAGGGGAGCAGUAGUGAGUCUGCAGUCAGGGUCCCACAAAGAUCUCAAGUUCACCAGGAAAGCCCCGGCCUGCCUGGGGAGCCACGACAAAGGCCGGAAGUGGGAUGCAACGCUAAGGAGGUGCUGAUUUAUCUUGUCUAAUGUAAGAGGAUGGAAAACAGGAGCUUCCCAUCUGCACCCUAAGAGGAAGGUGGGUGAGUCAGUGUCCCACCCUAGACCUGCACUGGGGACGUCUGGACCAUUCCAAAGACAAAGGGAGUUUGUGAGAAUAACUGUACUCCUGGGAGAGAAGAGAACUUCUCAGACUCCUGAAGGACCUGUCUGAGCUCAGAGACAGCCAGAGGGAGGAACCACAGUCUUCCAUUCAGCGAGAAGUCCUCCUCUCCAAGGAGCUGUCUCUCAUCUCUUCAGAGUCCCCUAAGUCAGUCCGAGGGCCUUCUGUGUGCCACUUAGGAUUAGGUUCUCAACUGCAAGUGGCGGAAAACUCCACCCCAAAUAACAACGGUGCAAACGAGGGCUUCUAGGUAAAGCAAGGCUAGAGAUUCAGCCCAGGGUUGGAGUGACUGCUUCCUGGUCAUCAGGAUUCCUGGAUCUUCUACUUUCCAUUAUUUUCUGGUCCAAGGUACUUAGUAAUUCAAAGUGACUGCUCCAUCUCCACCGAUGAUGCCCAAAUUCCAGCCAUCAGGAAGAAAACAUCUCUACCCAUAAAGACAUAUCCUGACAAUGGUAGUCACUGGUCAGGAUUUAAUCAUAUGGGCAUUUCUGGCUGCAAAGGAGGCUGGGAAAAGUACCCUUUAUUCCAGGCAGUCACCAGCACAUUUAAAUACGGAGCCUUCUGUUACUCUGCCCCCUCUCUGUUGCUAAUAAGACAGUACCACAGACAUUUUAAAGCAAAUAACUUCUUUGUGGCUAAUUAUUCACAUCAAAGGUUGGAGGGGCUGCAUCUGGUGACGGCCUUCUUGUUGGUAGGAUUUAAAUUUGUUUAGUCAAUAAAUAUCUGUGAAACACCUGAGCAAGUUCCUGGGGCUCAGUGCUACAAAGCCACUCCUCUCUGCAGAGAUUAUGUCUCAGUGCAGGAGGGAGAUGUUCAAGAAAUAAUUGCACCAUGGUGUGCAGAGUACAACGGUGAUACACACCAUUGUCCUAAGAAGAUGCUACUAAAGACCCACCCUCAAAAGACCACGUUCUCUGCUCCAGGGCCUUUCUCUGGAUGGAAGGAAUUAGUGCUUUUAUGUCCGGCCAGUGUAGGCUGGGAUCCCCAGGAGCAGCUGACACGAGUGGAGAGCAACGGCGGGACUAAUGCCCCGGGUCUUGGCCACUAGAUGGGCCAGCUCAGCGGCGUGUGCGGCAGUCUUCCACAGGCACCCAGAUUCCCACGGCAGCCACCUGCCCAGUACGGCACAAAGCGUUGCCUGUCCUGCCUUUCCCCGUCUCACUUUCCAGCAGCAGAGGACUCGUGCUUCCGGCAGUCGCUCCCCAAAUAAAAGGAAAACUCCUGUGCUCCCAC
This 2197-nucleotide long non-coding RNA is filed under the name Fukomys damarensis (Damara mole-rat). Its description in RNAcentral is "lncRNA (ENSFDAG00000024208.1)". The record is from RNAcentral. Lineage: Eukaryota; Metazoa; Chordata; Mammalia; Rodentia; Bathyergidae.